AAUGUUUUAUUCUCACUGAGGAAAAAUAUACUUAUCUAGAACGGAACCACAGAUAAAUGUCAUAGCAACAGCAAUUAAUUUAGUUUCGAGAUGAGCAAAGGGGUACAUUACAAAGCAGGAGAGAUUAGAUAGCCAGCUAACUUGCCUAAAUAUUGUGAAAUAACUUUUUUAUUUGGGGGGAAAUAUAAACUUGAAAUGGGUAUGGUCUAAUUCAGUCAACAACCAAAAACACAUAUCUAAUUCUAGAUGUCUUAAUGAAUCAGAACAGCGAUAGUUAUAUCUGGUUGCUUAUUGAUGUCAGCUGAAUAUCUCAUCCUGAGUAUAACCUCUCGGUCACGGACUACGUAGUGAAGGACAACGCAGUCGCAGAUAACUGCUGUCACAGACAACGCAGUGAAGGACAACGCAGACACAGAUAAAUGCUGUCACGGACUACGCAGUGAAGGACAACGAAGACACAGAUAAAUGCUGUCACAGACAACGCAGACACAGAUAAAUGCUGUCACGGACUACGCAGUGAAGGACAACGCAGUCACAGAUAAAUGCUGUCACAGACAACGCAGUCACGGAUAAAUGCUGUCACAGACAACGCAGUGAAGGACAACGCAGACACAGGUAAAUGCUGUCACGGACUAUGCAGUGAAGGACAACGCAGACACAGAUAAAUGCUGUCACGGACUACGCAGUGAAGGACAACGCAGACACAGAUAAAUGCUGUCACAGACAACGCAGUCACGGAUAAAUGCUGUCACAGACUACGCAGUGAAGGACAACGCAGACACAGAUAAAUGCUGUCACGGACUACGCAGUGAAGGACAACGCAGACACAGGUAAAUGCUGUCACAGACAACUCACUCAUGGUAAAUGCUGCAUAUGUCGGCCUUAACCGAAAAUGUUCUUAAAUGGCACAUUGUUGACAAAGUGCAAUUGGAUUGAAUCCCAGCCAUUUUUAUCAACUAAGAUAUC
Molecule: long non-coding RNA, 966 nt
Organism: Oncorhynchus keta (chum salmon)
Lineage: Eukaryota; Metazoa; Chordata; Actinopteri; Salmoniformes; Salmonidae
Exons: 3
Source: RefSeq, a predicted model, not a curated record